UACGUAGGGAGCAAGCGUUGUCCGGAAUCAUUGGGCGUAAAGCGCGCGUAGGUGGCCCCAUAAGUCCGCUGUGAAAGUCAAAGGCUCAACCUUUGAAAGCCGGUGGAUACUGUGGGACUAGAGUACGGAAGAGGCGAGUGGAAUUCCUGGUGUAGCGGUGGAAUGCGCAGAUAUCAGGAGGAACACCAAUGGCGAAGGCAGCUCGCUGGGACGGUACUGACGCUGAGACGCGAAAGCGUGGGGAGCAAACAGG
RNAcentral lists this ribosomal RNA (253 nucleotides) under uncultured bacterium. RNAcentral describes it as "partial 16S ribosomal RNA". It matches the Rfam family "Bacterial small subunit ribosomal RNA", at positions 524 to 776 of the family's 1533-position model. The record is from RNAcentral.